UACAGAGACCUCAAGCGUUAUCCGGAUUUAUUGGGCGUAAAGCGUCCGCAGGUGGUUUGGCAACUAAGAGGUUAAAACUUAACGCUUAACGUUAAGAUCGCCUUUUAAAAUACCAAACUAGAGACUGGAAGAGGUAAGCGGAAUUCUCGGUGUAGUCGUAAUAAGCGUUGAUAUCGAGAAGAACACCAAAUGCGAAGGCAGCUUACUGGUACAGUUCUGACACUCAUGGACUAAAGCGUGGGGAGCAAACAGG
This 253-nucleotide ribosomal RNA is filed under the name uncultured bacterium. RNAcentral's name for it is "partial 16S ribosomal RNA". It matches the Rfam family "Bacterial small subunit ribosomal RNA", at positions 524 to 776 of the family's 1533-position model. The record is from RNAcentral.